GAUGAACGCUGGCGGCGUGCCUAAUACAUGCAAGUCGAGCGAACAGACGAGGAGCUUGCUCCUCUGACGUUAGCGGCGGACGGGUGAGUAACACGUGGAUAACCUACCUAUAAGACUGGGAUAACUUCGGGAAACCGGAGCUAAUACCGGAUAAUAUAUUGAGCCGCAUGGUUCAAUAGUGAAAGACGGUUUUGCUGUCACUUAUAGAUGGAUCCGCGCCGCAUUAGCUAGUUGGUAAGGUAACGGCUUACCAAGGCGACGAUGCGUAGCCGACCUGAGAGGGUGAUCGGCCACACUGGAACUGAGACACGGUCCAGACUCCUACGGGAGGCAGCAGUAGGGAAUCUUCCGCAAUGGGCGAAAGCCUGACGGAGCAACGCCGCGUGAGUGAUGAAGGUCUUCGGAUCGUAAAACUCUGUUAUUAGGGAAGAACAAAUGUGUAAGUAACUAUGCACGUCUUGACGGUACCUAAUCAGAAAGCCACGGCUAACUACGUG
RNAcentral lists this ribosomal RNA (497 nucleotides) under uncultured bacterium. Its description in RNAcentral is "partial 16S ribosomal RNA". It matches the Rfam family "Bacterial small subunit ribosomal RNA", at positions 28 to 507 of the family's 1533-position model. The record is from RNAcentral.